CAGUAGUCACGUAGUUUGACUCCUGGCUCAGAACGAACGCUGGCGGCAUGCCUAACACAUGCAAGUCGAACGAGACCUUCGGGUCUAGUGGCGCACGGGUGCGUAACGCGUGGGAAUCUGCCCUUUGCUUCGGAAUAACAGUUAGAAAUGACUGCUAAUACCGGAUAAUGUCUUCGGACCAAAGAUUUAUCGCCUUUAGAUGGGCCCGCGUUGGAUUAGCUAGUUGGUGGGGUAAAGGCCUACCAAGGCGACGAUCCAUAGCUGGUCUGAGAGGAUGAUCAGCCACACUGGGACUGAGACACGGCCCAGACUCCUACGGGAGGCAGCAGUGGGGAAUAUUGGACAAUGGGCGAAAGCCUGAUCCAGCAAUGCCGCGUGAGUGAUGAAGGCCUUAGGGUUGUAAAGCUCUUUUACCCGAGAUGAUAAUGACAGUAUCGGGAGAAUAAGCUCCGGCUAACUCCGUG
RNAcentral lists this ribosomal RNA (464 nucleotides) under uncultured bacterium. Its description in RNAcentral is "bacterial SSU rRNA". It matches the Rfam family "Bacterial small subunit ribosomal RNA", at positions 1 to 507 of the family's 1533-position model. The record is from RNAcentral.